This 119-nucleotide ribosomal RNA is filed under the name Hucho hucho (huchen). The record is from RNAcentral. Lineage: Eukaryota; Metazoa; Chordata; Actinopteri; Salmoniformes; Salmonidae.
ACUUACGGCCAUACCAUCCUGAAUACGCCCGAUCUCGUCUGAUCUUGGAAGCUAAGCAGGGUCGGGCCUGGUUAGUACUUGGAUGGGAGACCAACUGGGAAUACCAGGUGCUGUAAAUG